This 1554-nucleotide ribosomal RNA is filed under the name Staphylococcus aureus. RNAcentral describes it as "16S ribosomal RNA". It matches the Rfam family "Bacterial small subunit ribosomal RNA". Lineage: Bacteria; Bacillati; Bacillota; Bacilli; Caryophanales; Staphylococcaceae. The record is from RNAcentral.
UUUAUGGAGAGUUUGAUCCUGGCUCAGGAUGAACGCUGGCGGCGUGCCUAAUACAUGCAAGUCGAGCGAACGGACGAGAAGCUUGCUUCUCUGAUGUUAGCGGCGGACGGGUGAGUAACACGUGGAUAACCUACCUAUAAGACUGGGAUAACUUCGGGAAACCGUAGCUAAUACCGGAUAAUAUUUUGAACCGCAUGGUUCAAAAGUGAAAGACGGUCUUGCUGUCACUUAUAGAUGGAUCCGCGCUGCAUUAGCUAGUUGGUAAGGUAACGGCUUACCAAGGCAACGAUGCAUAGCCGACCUGAGAGGGUGAUCGGCCACACUGGAACUGAGACACGGUCCAGACUCCUACGGGAGGCAGCAGUAGGGAAUCUUCCGCAAUGGGCGAAAGCCUGACGGAGCAACGCCGCGUGAGUGAUGAAGGUCUUCGGAUCGUAAAACUCUGUUAUUAGGGAAGAACAUAUGUGUAAGUAACUGUGCACAUCUUGACGGUACCUAAUCAGAAAGCCACGGCUAACUACGUGCCAGCAGCCGCGGUAAUACGUAGGUGGCAAGCGUUAUCCGGAAUUAUUGGGCGUAAAGCGCGCGUAGGCGGUUUUUUAAGUCUGAUGUGAAAGCCCACGGCUCAACCGUGGAGGGUCAUUGGAAACUGGAAAACUUGAGUGCAGAAGAGGAAAGUGGAAUUCCAUGUGUAGCGGUGAAAUGCGCAGAGAUAUGGAGGAACACCAGUGGCGAAGGCGACUUUCUGGUCUGUAACUGACGCUGAUGUGCGAAAGCGUGGGGAUCAAACAGGAUUAGAUACCCUGGUAGUCCACGCCGUAAACGAUGAGUGCUAAGUGUUAGGGGGUUUCCGCCCCUUAGUGCUGCAGCUAACGCAUUAAGCACUCCGCCUGGGGAGUACGACCGCAAGGUUGAAACUCAAAGGAAUUGACGGGGACCCGCACAAGCGGUGGAGCAUGUGGUUUAAUUCGAAGCAACGCGAAGAACCUUACCAAAUCUUGACAUCCUUUGACAACUCUAGAGAUAGAGCCUUCCCCUUCGGGGGACAAAGUGACAGGUGGUGCAUGGUUGUCGUCAGCUCGUGUCGUGAGAUGUUGGGUUAAGUCCCGCAACGAGCGCAACCCUUAAGCUUAGUUGCCAUCAUUAAGUUGGGCACUCUAAGUUGACUGCCGGUGACAAACCGGAGGAAGGUGGGGAUGACGUCAAAUCAUCAUGCCCCUUAUGAUUUGGGCUACACACGUGCUACAAUGGACAAUACAAAGGGCAGCGAAACCGCGAGGUCAAGCAAAUCCCAUAAAGUUGUUCUCAGUUCGGAUUGUAGUCUGCAACUCGACUACAUGAAGCUGGAAUCGCUAGUAAUCGUAGAUCAGCAUGCUACGGUGAAUACGUUCCCGGGUCUUGUACACACCGCCCGUCACACCACGAGAGUUUGUAACACCCGAAGCCGGUGGAGUAACCUUUUAGGAGCUAGCCGUCGAAGGUGGGGCAAAUGAUUGGGGUGAAGUCGUAACAAGGUAGCCGUAUCGGAAGGUGCGGCUGGAUCACCUCCUUUCU